Molecule: long non-coding RNA, 1139 nt
Filed under: Homo sapiens (human)
Lineage: Eukaryota; Metazoa; Chordata; Mammalia; Primates; Hominidae
Description: HSALNT0398697
Source: RNAcentral
AGGGGGAGAAGCCACCAACGGAAUAACUUAUCUCCUAGCGGCUGGGGAAAAGGGCCACAGGAUAGAGCUCAGCUCCCACUCCACUCAACGCCAAAGCUGUCCUGGAGCCAGACGGUCCUGAGCUCUGGCACUGGAGGCCUGGGAGCCAUGCCCUUGACCAGCCUUGAGACCUCGAGCAAGACAAGGCAACCAUUCUGAGGCUGAGUUUCCUGCUCUGCAAACGACAUGACACCCUCGGCUGGAUGUUGCAGCGGUGACACUGAAGUAGUGACACCAGACGAUUUCUGUACUUAAUGUGAUGUCAGCACUUAGUAAACAUUCAUAUCCCCUGCCUCCAGAGUUCCUUAAGGUUCAAUUGAUGGAAUGCCUCCUCUGCACCAGCACCUGGGCAGUAGAGACGGAGUUUCACCGUGUUAGCCAGGAUGGUCCCGAUCUCCUGACCUCGUGAUCCGCCUGCCUCGGCCUCCCAAAGUGCUGGGAUUACAGGCAUGAUGAGCCACUGCGCCCGGCCUAUUUCAACUUAAGUGAAAAUCUCACCUGUGGCCAGCGGCUACCGUGCUGGACAGCACAGUGCUCAUCUGAGGAGGCAGGACGCAGCCUCUCCGCCUCUUUGCUUAUUCUGCUGACUGACCGCCUCUCCAGCCAGAGCAUGAGCUGAAAAACGACAGCAACUUGUUUCUACAUCCCGUGCCUUAACCAGAGCCUGGCACGUAGUACAUCCUCGAUGAACAUUUGCAGAAUCAAUGACUUUGCAAAGUGAGAAGUGCUUGGUGAAUACCAAAGAGUCAGACAUGCUGGAGGUUAGGGCAGGAGGUGCGACUUUAGUUACGACCUGCAGAGAAGGCCCGUGGGCCCAGACUUGAAUAAGGAGGAGACAAAGGGGUGACAGGAGGAAAGUAUGCCAGGCUGAGGGGACAGCCCUGCACGCAGCUUCUGAGGACUCCAGCCUAGACAUGGAGGGAGAGAUGUGACUCAGCCAAACAGGGACCCAAAGACAGUGGCUGAAGCAGGUGCUGCUCCUGGGUCAGAAAGACCUGAGUUCCGGGCGGGGCACAGUGGCUCACGCCUGUAAUCCCAGCACUUUGGGAGGCCGGGGCGGGCAGAUCACUUGAGGUCAGGAGUUCAAGACCAGCCUGGCC